CAGUCGCCGCGGGAAUACGUAGGUGGCAAGCGUUGUCCGGAAUUAUUGGGCGUAAAGCGCGCGCAGGCGGAUAGGUCAGUCUGUCUUAAAAGUUCGGGGCUUAACCCCGUGAUGGGAUGGAAACUGCCAAUCUAGAGUAUCGGAGAGGAAAGUGGAAUUCCUAGUGUAGCGGUGAAAUGCGUAGAUAUUAGGAAGAACACCAGUGGCGUAGGCGACUUUCUGGACGAAGACUGACGCCGAGGCGCGAAAGCCAGGGGAGCGAACGGGAUUAGAUACCCCGGUAGUCCCUGUCUCUUAUACA
RNAcentral lists this ribosomal RNA (301 nucleotides) under uncultured bacterium. Its description in RNAcentral is "partial 16S ribosomal RNA". It matches the Rfam family "Bacterial small subunit ribosomal RNA", at positions 509 to 809 of the family's 1533-position model. The record is from RNAcentral.